GCCAGGGCCCCAUUCACACUAUACAUUUAAAGCAUAAUAAUAAUAAUAAUAAUAAUAAUAAUAAUAAUAAUAAUUGUGCUUUAAAUGUAUAGUGUGAAUGGAGCCUGGC
Non-coding RNA from Podarcis lilfordi (Lilford's wall lizard), 109 nucleotides. The record is from the annotation of a GenBank genome assembly. NCBI's taxonomy places the organism in Eukaryota, Metazoa, Chordata, Lepidosauria, Squamata, Lacertidae.